This 239-nucleotide ribosomal RNA is filed under the name Gammaproteobacteria bacterium. RNAcentral's name for it is "partial 16S ribosomal RNA". It matches the Rfam family "Bacterial small subunit ribosomal RNA", at positions 1 to 223 of the family's 1533-position model. The record is from RNAcentral. Lineage: Bacteria; Pseudomonadati; Pseudomonadota; Gammaproteobacteria.
AAACUGAAGAGUUUGAUCCUGGCUCAGAUUGAACGCUGGCGGUAUGCUUAACACAUGCAAGUCGAACGGUAACGGGCCGCUGUGAUCCCUUCGGGGUGAACUUGGUGCCGACGAGUGGCGGACGGGUGAGUAAUACUUAGGAAUCUGCCCAGUAGUGGGGGACAACACGGGGAAACUCGUGCUAAUACCGCAUACACCCUAAGGGGAAAAGUGGAGGAUCUUCGGACUUCACGCUAUUG